GGGGUUGUGGCUCAGCGGUAGAGCACCCGUCUAGCACGGGAGAGGCCCUGGGUUCGAUCCUCAGCACCA
Molecule: non-coding RNA, 69 nt
Organism: Ictidomys tridecemlineatus (thirteen-lined ground squirrel)
Lineage: Eukaryota; Metazoa; Chordata; Mammalia; Rodentia; Sciuridae
Source: Rfam